RNAcentral lists this transfer RNA (75 nucleotides) under Oscillospiraceae bacterium. RNAcentral describes it as "tRNA-Cys". It matches the Rfam family "tRNA". From Rfam's summary of the family: Transfer RNA (tRNA) molecules are approximately 80 nucleotides in length. Their secondary structure includes four short double-helical elements and three loops (D, anti-codon, and T loops). The record is from RNAcentral. Lineage: Bacteria; Bacillati; Bacillota; Clostridia; Eubacteriales; Oscillospiraceae.
GGCGCCAUAGCCAAGUGGUAAGGCAGCGGACUGCAAAACCGCGAUUCCCCGGUUCUAAGCCGGGUGGCGCCUCCA